GGUAAUGGGAGUUAAGCCCCACCACAGCCAGUUUACACCAUUUUUUCCUGUUUGGACAGAAUUCAGCCCUAUGCAGACAGCCUACAUGAGGCUCAUGCACCAUUGAAGACCCAAAAGCAGCAAUACCAUAUUUAAUUCUGCACUGACUUCUGAGCCAUUGUGGUGUGUCAUGUCAACGUAUUCUGACUACUGAUCCCUACUAAUCUGCUGUUCAUCGACAUAUCUAUAUGUAUCUGGGGCUCAAGAGCUGUACCAGUGGGGUAAGAAGACUGGGGCCCAGGGCUUGAAUCUUAUUGGAUGAAUUGGAAGCGCUACUGUGUGCCAAGGGAAGGAUCAAACAGCCACAGGAUAUCACA
This is a long non-coding RNA of Mauremys reevesii (Reeves's turtle), 356 nucleotides long. RefSeq lists it as uncharacterized. The transcript has 3 exons. The record is from RefSeq and is a predicted model, not a curated record. Lineage: Eukaryota; Metazoa; Chordata; Testudines; Geoemydidae.